RNAcentral lists this ribosomal RNA (253 nucleotides) under uncultured bacterium. RNAcentral describes it as "partial 16S ribosomal RNA". It matches the Rfam family "Bacterial small subunit ribosomal RNA", at positions 524 to 776 of the family's 1533-position model. The record is from RNAcentral.
UACGUAGGGUGCAAGCGUUGUCCGGAAUUAUUGGGCGUAAAGAGCUCGUAGGCGGUUUGUCGCGUCGAAUGUGAAAACCCGGGGCUCAACUCCGGGCCUGCAUUCGAUACGGGCAGACUAGAGUUCGGUAGGGGAGUCUGGAAUUCCUGGUGUAGCGGUGAAAUGCGCAGAUAUCAGGAGGAACACCGGUGGCGAAGGCGGGACUCUGGGCCGAUACUGACGCUGAGGAGCGAAGGCGUGGGGAGCGAACAGG